GCAAACUUGGUCAUUUAGAGGAAGUAAAAGUCGUAACAAGGUUUCCGUAGGUGAACCUGCGGAAGGAUCAUUAAAAAAUCUUUCGAGCCGCAAGGCUCUAUUAUCUUGUGAAGUGUUUGCUGUACACACGCUGUGUGUGUGUGGGUGAGAUGGGAUGAAGGUUGUGUUGGUGGAUGAAGGUUGAGAGUGAGAGUUCAUAGAGUUCUCCUCAUAUCAUCAUCAUAUCGUCAUCAUCAUCAUCAUGAUUCCAUCUCUCUGCACAUGCUGCGUUGUACGCUUUUAAAAUGUAUGGUUUUGAUGUGCUGUUUGUAUGUAUGUGUUACACUUGUGUUACACCGGUGUAAUACUAAUACCUAAUACAAUACAACUUUCAACAGUGGAUCUCUCGGCUCUUGCAUCGAUGAAGAACGCAGC
This 414-nucleotide unclassified non-coding RNA is filed under the name uncultured fungus. Its description in RNAcentral is "partial contains small subunit ribosomal RNA, internal transcribed spacer 1, and 5.8S ribosomal RNA". The stretch from base 1 to 73 matches the Rfam family "Eukaryotic small subunit ribosomal RNA", at positions 1759 to 1831 of the family's 1831-position model. The record is from RNAcentral. Lineage: Eukaryota; Fungi.